This 868-nucleotide ribosomal RNA is filed under the name Oncholaimus sp. 1 LM-2017. Its description in RNAcentral is "SSU rRNA". It matches the Rfam family "Eukaryotic small subunit ribosomal RNA", at positions 65 to 945 of the family's 1831-position model. The record is from RNAcentral. Lineage: Eukaryota; Metazoa; Nematoda; Enoplea; Enoplida; Oncholaimidae.
AUGAACUAUCUAUUGUGAACCGCGAAUGGCUCAUUACAACAGCCAUAGUUUACUGGAUAUAUUCCAUUACAUGGAUAACUGUGGUAAUUCUACAGCUAAUACACGCAUCAAAGCCCUGACUUCGGAAAGGGUGCGUUAGUUACUUCAAACUGAUCGGUCUUCGGACUGUCAUCAAGUGAGAUUGAACUAUUUAGCUGAUCGCACGGUCUAAGCACCGGCGACAUAUCCUUCAAAUGUCUGCCUUAUCAACUUUCGAUGGUAGAUUAUGCGCCUACCAUGGUUGUAACGGGUAACGGAGAAUCAGGGUUUGAUUCCGGAGAGGGAGCCUGAGAAAUGGCUACCACAUCCAAGGAAGGCAGCAGGCACGCAAAUUACCCACUCCCGGCACGGGGAGGUAGUGACGAAAAAUAACAAGCUGGUCUCUUUGAGUUCCGGCAUUGUAAUGGGAACAACUUAAAUCAUUUAUCGAGGAUCUAUUGGAGGGCAAGUCUGGUGCCAGCAGCCGCGGUAAUUCCAGCUCCAAUAGCGUAUAUUAAAGUUGUUGCGGUUAAAAAGCUCGUAGUUGGAUCUACGAUCAAGGCUCGUGGUCGUUCUUCUCGAAUGUACUGCGAUGUCUGGUCGAUUUAUCUGGUGAACGAUUGAUGCUCUUCAUUGAGUGUCUCUAGUUGCUGGAACGUUUACCUUGAAAAAAUUGAAGUGCUCAAAGCAGGCUCUUGCCUGAACAUUGCUGCAUGGGAUAAUAGAAUAGGACUUCGGUUCUAUUUUGUUGGUUUCGGAACGCGGAGUAAUGAUUAAUAGGGACAGACGGGGGCAUUCGUAUUGCUGCGUUAGAGGUGAAAUUCUUGGAUCGUAGCAAGACGACCUACUG